This is a long non-coding RNA of Adelges cooleyi (spruce gall adelgid), 424 nucleotides long. RefSeq lists it as uncharacterized. The transcript is spliced from 3 exons. The record is from RefSeq and is a predicted model, not a curated record. Lineage: Eukaryota; Metazoa; Arthropoda; Insecta; Hemiptera; Adelgidae.
GGCGCCACUUGAUCGGGUGACGGUAACGAGACCACGCCAUAUCGAUUGCGUUAUCGGCCAAUUCAAAUAUAUUUUGUAUAAAUAGGUGUGCGGCAUUUCAGAUCAAGCAUAACACGUUGUUUUGUGCAAAUCUAUACUUUGUAUUUCCUUCGCAAGUUCUCCAAGAACCAACUCAAAAACCAAAAAUGGGCGCAGAAAAGGUAUCAAUGAACAUCGUUGUCGUCGGACAAGUGCAAUCCGCCAAAGCCAUCAAGACUGUCGCCAAGACCAACAGCUCCGCUGUUAACCAAGCCAUGAAAUGGUAAUGAAAUAAUUCCAUGAUGCCAAACUCAAAACUGCUAUAGACCACACAAUGCAUAUUACUUAUACUAUAAUAAUAAUAUGUAUUGAUAUGCUCAAAUAAAUUUUAAAAGAUCCGUUAAAA